GACGAACGCUGGCGGCGUGCUUAACACAUGCAAGUCGAACGGAAAGGCCCUGCUUUUGUGGGGUGCUCGAGUGGCGAACGGGUGAGUAACACGUGAGUAACCUGCCCUUGACUUUGGGAUAACUUCAGGAAACUGGGGCUAAUACCGGAUAGGAGCUCCUGCUGCAUGGUGUGGGUUGGAAAGUUUCGGCGGUUGGGGAUGGACUCGCGGCUUAUCAGCUUGUUGGUGGGGUAGUGGCUUACCAAGGCUUUGACGGGUAGCCGGCCUGAGAGGGUGAGCGGGCACAUUGGGACUGAGAUAGGGACACGACUCCUACGGGAGCGAGAAGUGGGAAAUAUUGCACAAUGGGCGGGAGCGUGAUGCAGAAACGCCGAGUGCGGGAUGACGGCAUGCGGGUUGUAAACCGAUUUCGCCUGUGACGAAGAGAGAGUGACGGUAAUGGGUAAAGAAGCACCGGCUAACUACGUG
Molecule: ribosomal RNA, 468 nt
Filed under: uncultured bacterium
Lineage: Bacteria
Description: partial 16S ribosomal RNA
Rfam family: Bacterial small subunit ribosomal RNA
Source: RNAcentral